UGGGGAAUUUUGCACAAUGGGGGAAACCCUGAUGCAGCGACGCCGCGUGAUUUAGAAGGCCUUCGGGUUGUAAAAAUCUUUUUUACGGGAUGAAAAUGACAGUACCGUAAGAAUAAGGUCCGGCUAAAUACGUGCCAGCAGCCGCGGUAAUACGUAUGGACCGAGCGUUGUCCAGAAUCAUUGGGCGUAAAGGGUACGUAGGCGGCCUAGUAAGUUAGAAGUGAAAUAAUAUAGCUCAACUAUAUAAAGCUUUUAAAACUGCUAGGCUUGAGAGAUGGAAGGGAAAGUGGAAUUCCUAGUGUAGCGGUGAAAUGCGCAGAUAUUAGGAAGAAUACCAGUGGCGAAGGCGACUUUCUGGUCAUCAUCUGACGCUGAGGUACGAAAGCGUGGGUAGCAAACAGG
RNAcentral lists this ribosomal RNA (402 nucleotides) under bacterium. Its description in RNAcentral is "partial 16S ribosomal RNA". It matches the Rfam family "Bacterial small subunit ribosomal RNA", at positions 355 to 776 of the family's 1533-position model. The record is from RNAcentral.